RNAcentral lists this ribosomal RNA (376 nucleotides) under uncultured bacterium. Its description in RNAcentral is "bacterial SSU rRNA". It matches the Rfam family "Bacterial small subunit ribosomal RNA", at positions 29 to 430 of the family's 1533-position model. The record is from RNAcentral.
AGCGAACGCUGGCGGCAGGCUUAACACAUGCAAGUCGAGCGCCCGUAGCAAUACGGGAGCGGCAGACGGGAGAGUAACACGUGGGAACGUGCCUUUUGGUUCGGAACAACCCAGGGAAACUUGGGCUAAUACCGGAUAAGCCCUUACGGGGAAAGAUUUAUCGCCAAAAGAUCGGCCCGCGUCUGAUUAGCUAGUUGGUGAGGUAACGGCUCACCAAGGCUACGAUCAGUAGCUGGUCUGAGAGGAUGAUCAGCCUCACUGGGACUGAGACACGGCCCAGACUCCUACGGGAGGCAGCAGUGGGGAAUAUUGGACAAUGGGCGCAAGCCUGAUCCAGCCAUGCCGCGUGGGUGAUGAAGGCCUUAGGGUUGUAAAG